AUAGUAUAAUACACCUACUAUCCGCCUGGGAAUUACGAGCAUUAGCUUAAAACCCAAAGGACUUGGCGGUGCUUUANACCCACCUAGAGGAGCCUGUCCUAGAACCGAUAACCCCCGUUCAACCUCACCCUUCUUUGUUUUCCCCGCCUAUAUACCGCCGUCGUCAGCUUACCCUGUGAAGGACUAAUAGUAAGCAGAAUUGGCACAGCCCAAAACGUCAGGUCGAGGUGUAGCGUAUGGAAGGGGAAGAGAUGGGCUACAUUCCCUAACACAGGGAAUACGAAUGAUAUACUGAAACGUACAUCCUGAAGGAGGAUUUAGCAGUAAGCAGAAAACA
This 337-nucleotide ribosomal RNA is filed under the name Macquaria australasica (Macquarie perch). Its description in RNAcentral is "partial 12S ribosomal RNA". It matches the Rfam family "Bacterial small subunit ribosomal RNA", at positions 848 to 1351 of the family's 1533-position model. Lineage: Eukaryota; Metazoa; Chordata; Actinopteri; Centrarchiformes; Percichthyidae. The record is from RNAcentral.